CCUACGGGUGGCAGCAGUGAGGAAUAUUGGUCAAUGUGCGGAAGCCUGAACCAGCCAAGUAGCGUGCGGGAUGAAGGCCCUACGGGUUGUAAACUGCUUUUGCACGGGGAUAACACACUCCACUUGUGGCGGUUUGCAGGUACCGUGCGACUAAGGGCCGGCUAAUUCCGUUCCAGCCGCCGCGGUAAUACGGAAGGCCCGAGCGUUAUCCGGGUUCCUUGGGCUUAAAGGGAGCGUAGGCUGGCGUUAAAGUCAGCGGUAAACUCGCGCGGGUAAACCGCGCCCCGCAUGUGAAACUGGACGACUUGAGAUCACAACAGGCAGGCGGAAUGCGUGGUGUAGCGGUGAAAUGCAUAGAUAUCACGAGGAACCCCGAUUGCGAAGGCAGCCUGCCGAGGUACGACUGACGCUGAGGCUCGAAGGUGCGGGUAUCAAACAGGAUUAGAUACCCUUGUAGUC
RNAcentral lists this ribosomal RNA (459 nucleotides) under uncultured bacterium. RNAcentral describes it as "partial 16S ribosomal RNA". It matches the Rfam family "Bacterial small subunit ribosomal RNA", at positions 338 to 795 of the family's 1533-position model. The record is from RNAcentral.